This 498-nucleotide ribosomal RNA is filed under the name Basidiomycota sp. RNAcentral's name for it is "LSU rRNA". It matches the Rfam family "Eukaryotic large subunit ribosomal RNA", at positions 122 to 625 of the family's 3401-position model. The record is from RNAcentral. Lineage: Eukaryota; Fungi; Basidiomycota.
CUGGCGUGCUCAGUGCGUCCGAGUUGUAAUCUAUAGAGGCGUUUUCCGUGCCGGACUGUGUCCAAGUCCCUUGGAACAGGGUAUCAAAGAGGGUGAUAAUCCCGUACUUGACACAAUGACCGGUGCUCUGUGAUACGUCUUCUACGAGUCGAGUUGUUUGGGAAUGCAGCUCAAAAUGGGUGGUGAGUUCCAUCUAAAGCUAAAUAUUGGCGAGAGACCGAUAGCGAACAAGUACCGUGAGGGAAAGAUGAAAAGCACUUUGGAAAGAGAGUUAAACAGUACGUGAAAUUGUUGAAAGGGAAACGAUUGAAUCAGUCGUGACUGAGAGGCUCAGCCGGUCUGCCGGUGUAUUCCCCUCAGUCGGUCAACAUCAGUUUUGUUCGGUGGAUAAGGGAUUGGAAGUGGCACCCUCGGUGUGUUAUAGCAGCUGUCGAUACAUCGGAUGAGAUGAGGAUGCACUCGUCUUUAUGGCGGGGUUCGCCACGUCGAGCUUAGAUG